This 326-nucleotide unclassified non-coding RNA is filed under the name fungal sp. RNAcentral describes it as "partial internal transcribed spacer region". The stretch from base 1 to 46 matches the Rfam family "Eukaryotic small subunit ribosomal RNA", at positions 1786 to 1831 of the family's 1831-position model. The record is from RNAcentral. Lineage: Eukaryota; Fungi.
AAGUCGUAACAAGGUUUCCGUAGGUGAACCUGCGGAAGGAUCAUUACUGAUUGAUUGUGGGUGUGAGUGUGGUUUUGCGAUGUGGGAGUGCGGAAGCAGUCGCAUAUCGCAAAACUGCGUGAAUCACUACAUAUGCCCGCUCCCGCAAGGGAGUAGGAUCUGGAGUUGGUGUGUAGUGUGAUGGUUUGGGAAAGGGCAAUAAUGGCAACAUUGUCGUCUCCUUGCCAGACCAUCAUCCCUUGCAUCAGCUUCAAAAUACCUCUUUAUUUUAGUCAUCACAAAAUCUUAAAUUACCAUGACUUUUAACAAUGGAUCUCUGGGCUCCU